UUCAGGUGAUCCACCCGCCUCGGCCUCCCAAACUGCUGAGAUUACAGGCAUAAGCCACUGCACCCGGCCCUGGGUUGCUCUUCUAAGAAUAGCUGACUUUAUUAAACAUAUUGUAGGUUUCAUUAAAUGAUGUUUCACAAGGUGUUGCUUCUCCUGGACCAAAUUCCUGUUGUUCAGCUGAGAGCUAUUUCUAAUCUCCAGUGUGGAUGUGCUCAUCAUUUGGUUAUAGGAUGUGAGCAAAUGAGAUGGUGUUCUGCGUAGCCCAGAGGCUGCUUCCAUUAGCCCUUUCCCCAAACUUUUGCCACUUUCAGGCUUAGCAGUAUCCUCUCUUGGGUUCAGAAUGCCUGCUCUUUGCCCUAAUACAAAACCUAGAGCUGUAGGCCAUGUUCUUAUGAUUUGACAGUAUCAGGGAAGCAUUUCUUAUUGACUUUUCCAGAGAAAGAGAGAAAAUAAGCAAGCCGGCAACAAGACAGAGGGGAAAAGGGAAGUGGCUCAGUUCUUACUUUAAGAAACAACAUGGAAGAUAUGUUUGUUGAUUUGAGGGUGGUGAAUUUUUGCACUAUAGCUUUGUGAGGGAGCUGGAAAGAGCCUUUCAGUUUUUCAUGACUGGGAGUUUAAUUUGGUUUAUAACAUUACUUAAAGAUAACUUUGAAAUUGGUCUAAGAACUUAGGGUUGUUCCUGACCCCAGGUCAAUGGCCUACUUGACCUAGGCGAGAGGAGAAAGAGUUAAGGAUAGGGAGUUGAGCUUUUUGCUCCAAAAUCUAUAGAGGGUACACCCCUCUUAUAUUCUGGAGUCUUACUGGGUUUCUGAAAAUGCCCUUGUGGGUCAUGAAACAUAGCCCUUUGAAUAUUUUUCUGCCGCUGCUGAUGUGAGCUGAUUAAACUGGCAGGCAGAUGAUGGAAGGAAUAGUUACAUGUCCCAGGCGGGAGGUCAUGACAGUUGGAUCUGUGGUUGACAGAAGAAUUUCAACACACAUUCAAAUCAGCUCCUAAGAUAGAUUGUCUGAGUUCCCUGGGCCUGCCUCAUGCCCUCCUCAAAUGCAUUUGACUCCUUCUGGCCCGUAAUACUCACACUUCAAAUGUUUGGCUUGGCGUCCACAAAUCAACUCAGGGCCGGGGUAGGGGUACUGAUGAGCAGUGAUGCCCUCUUUGGGAGCUACCACAGCAUAGGAAAUGAACAUUAGACCAGGAAUCAGGUAACCUGGUUGGGGACCCAGGGCUCUAGAUGGUUUAUUUUUUUAUUUUCCUUAUUGGUUAAAUUCCCUACCGCAGUUUUGACAUUCUCUUCUGGAUACUGACUGUGGUCUAGAGAAACAGCUAAGGAAGGCAAAUCUGAAUUAAAAUCUGGUUCUUGGGAAAGAACUGAAGUUUUCAGAUUUUGCAAAAUUAUGGAGAGUGCAGACUAGGAGAAAAAGGACAGGCAUAGUUGUGACAAGGAGCUAUUUUUUCUAGUUCUGCAUUCUAGAAACAGUACUGAUGAGUCCAAAAAUAUAGAGAUAAAAUUUUGUCUUUUUUCUUGCUUUAAAAAAAAAUGCUUCUAAAUGUCUACAUACUUGCCUAAGAAAAUAUUUCUCAACUCCUCCAGAAUAUUUAGGGUUAACUAAAAAUUAUAAAAACAUACCACAGAGCUAGUCCACUCUUUAUGCCUAGGGUUUACCCAAAAGGUCUGCAUGCUCUGGCUUGGAGACCCUGACCCCAUCUCAACUUGCUGGUUUCAAGUCUACAUAUUUGGCUGCAAAGCCCUAAUGCCAGGAGGAAUGCGGAACUGACGAGUCCACCCCAUCUACAAGCUAGAAGGACAUCUUGAUUAAAUUAGUGUCAAGGGCAGUGGAGAGAAAGGCACAGUGACACAAAGGGUGUUUUGAGGAGCCCUGUAGCGCCUGUGGAGAAUGAAUGUUCUUGUUAAAUAUGGCCGUGACCUGCAGCUCCACACAUGCCAGAGACACAGCUCAAUUGUCCCCAGGAUUUGGGGGGUGGGGACGAUCAUGGGGAGAGGACAGCCUGGCAUGGAAAGGCAGGAAUGCAGGAAGGCCUGUUGUUGUUUUCUUUUUGCGAUAACUACAGCAAGCAAUUCUUUGAUCAUGGUCCUUGUGUUUGGAAGGGAUCAAGAAGCGAUUUCCUUUCCCCUGGGUGUUUGAACCUUUGCUCUGCUCCUUGCUUCUCUGGGUAUUAAGGGGACUCCUGAAAGCCCCCAUUGUCUUCAGCCUCUUUCCACCCCCUUCCUUGGGGCUCCCCAAGAAGAUUGUUGCCUGAACUCUGUAGGGCAAGAAUGAGAAGCAGUGCCCCCAAGACAGUGCCUACCCUUGUCAUUUACCCACCAUCCUCAUCUCAUUUAUCCUUAAGUCCCAAGACCAAAGCAAAGAACACAUGGGCUGUUGAAGGCUUCCACAGGACUGCCCUGGUCAGUGGGAAAGCAGUAAUGCUUUCUAGCUGGGUAACCCCUUGGCUGAGUUCCAUCUGCACUGUGGCCAGGGUGCGUGGUGAGACAUGCUUUUGCCAUUUGCCCUUUGAACUGCCAACAAUCCCAAUGUAGCAAAUGGGAUUUAAAGCAAAUCUAAAGCUGAUUGAGUUUUAGAUUUCUUUCCUUUAACCAGAAUAUUCUAGCAGCUUAUUUUUAUAGUUCUGCUUAUAUGAUUCUCUUUUUAACAGAUGGAAUCACAACCUUUUCUGCAGAAUAUAUCUGAUGAAUUUAAAAACUGAUACAUCAAGAAUAUUCUUUUGUAUAUGUCUUUCUUGCUGUGAAAAUUUAUGGCCUUUCUUCCCCCUAUCUUCGCUCUGUAAUUAUUAGGUGCUUACUAUAUGCAAGGCAUUGUAUAAGAUUAGGAGAAUACAGAUAAGACAAAAUAGCAUUGAAGGAGUUUAUGAGUUCAAUUCCAACUUCACCAAUUAAUAGUUGUUCUCAUGGACAAAUUUUUUGACCUCUCUAAGCUUUAGCGUCUGUAAGUACUAAGUGCUUUUUGUGCAGAGAGAUGUAGAGAGGUGAAAUUUGAGCUGGAUUUUUAGUGAAUGAAAAUGAUUUCAGUAAUUAAAGAUGAAAAAGUACGGAGUUUGUGAGCAUGGAGGGGGAGCUGGAGUCAAAGGAUAUUCCAUAUGGAAGAACAGGCUUCAGGAUGAAGGAGAGCACCGGAAUGUGUGAGGACUCUUCAGAGGGUGAAUGCUUUGGUUACCACGUCCUGGGAAAUGAACAACUUAAAACGUAAGU
RNAcentral lists this long non-coding RNA (3203 nucleotides) under Homo sapiens (human). RNAcentral's name for it is "HSALNT0295285". Lineage: Eukaryota; Metazoa; Chordata; Mammalia; Primates; Hominidae. The record is from RNAcentral.